RNAcentral lists this long non-coding RNA (850 nucleotides) under Lactuca sativa (garden lettuce). RNAcentral's name for it is "long non-coding RNA (LSAT_LNC009769)". The record is from RNAcentral. Lineage: Eukaryota; Viridiplantae; Streptophyta; Magnoliopsida; Asterales; Asteraceae.
GGAUGACUCUAAUCCUUUCUUUUUGUGGUAUUUUAUUACACAGGUGUAUCAUGAAACUUGGAUGUAUGGACUACCAUGGGCUAGCAGUGAAUAUGUACAUAACCUCAAGAAGUUUCUUAAAGUUGUUGAGGAUCGUCGGGUGCAUAGAGGAGAAUGUUACAUUUGGUGUCCUUGUAAAAUGUACCAAAAUUGUAAAAAGGUCUAUGAUUUGGAUGUAAUAGAAGAAUAUAUGAUAUUUGAAGGAUUUAUGAAUCGAUAUACGUGUUGAUCACAACAUGGCGAGUUAUUGAUUGAUCACAACACAAUUGAUGUCGAAUCUAAUUAUGAUGAUACAGAUGAUUCAGAGGAUGACAUCCAUGAUAACCUACCUCCAUUUUCUAUCGGUAUUCCAUCUAUGAAUGUUGAUAUUAAUGACGCUGCUUACUUAAGAUCGGACCAUAACGAAGGAUCAUAUGUUGAAGAAAGGUAAUAAACCCUUUGUUUGAUCUAAAAAUAAAAAAUAUAAUUUAAUGUAAAUUUGAAACAUAUGAAGAUAGUAUUAUGUAUGUAUUUAAUACAUUUUUGUUUGCAGCAACACAGACGACACGACACUGGAGGACAAUAACAGUGAUAAUUGCAGUUGAGGUUCUUCAUGGGGAGAUUUACUAUGAUUGCAUUAUGAAAAACUUGUGUAGUAUCAACAUGAUGCGAGGAUAAAAACUAUGUUGAGUUUUUGAUGUUUAUGUCACAUGUAAUAUGUUCUAUAUUAUACAAAGUCAUGUUUUAGUGAUGAACAUUAAUCUUUGUUCAUCACUAAAUGCUCAAUUGCUCAUCACCUUCAUUUCCCCUUCUUCCUUUUAUGAAUUCAAAG